CGGACGGGUGAGUAAUGUCUGGGAAACUGCCUGAUGGAGGGGGAUAACUACUGGAAACGGUAGCUAAUACCGCAUAACGUCGCAAGACCAAAGAGGGGACCUUCGGGCCUCUUGCCAUCGGAUGUGCCCAGAUGGGAUUAGCUAGUAGGUGGGGUAACGGCUCGCCUAGGCGACGAUCCCUAGCUGGUCUGAGAGGAUGACCAGCCACACUGGAACUGAGACACGGUCCAG
RNAcentral lists this ribosomal RNA (231 nucleotides) under uncultured bacterium. RNAcentral's name for it is "partial 16S ribosomal RNA". It matches the Rfam family "Bacterial small subunit ribosomal RNA", at positions 99 to 334 of the family's 1533-position model. The record is from RNAcentral.